AACGUAGGGGACAAGCGUUAUCCGGAUUUACUGGGCGUAAAGCGCACGUAGGCGGGCAGGUAAGUUGGACGUGAAAGCUCCCGGCUUAACUGGGAGAGGUCGUACAAAACUGUCUGUCUUGAGGCAGAGAGAGGAGAGCGGAAUUCCCGGUGUAGUGGUGGAAUGCGUAGAUAUCGGGAGGAACACCAGUGGCGAAGGCGGCUCUCUGGCUCAGGCCUGACGCUGAGGUGCGAAAGCGUGGGGAGCGAACGGG
RNAcentral lists this ribosomal RNA (253 nucleotides) under uncultured bacterium. RNAcentral's name for it is "partial 16S ribosomal RNA". It matches the Rfam family "Bacterial small subunit ribosomal RNA", at positions 524 to 776 of the family's 1533-position model. The record is from RNAcentral.